Deinococcus sp. LM3 is the source of this 153-nucleotide non-coding RNA. Lineage: Bacteria; Thermotogati; Deinococcota; Deinococci; Deinococcales; Deinococcaceae. The record is from Rfam.
CACACGCGACGGGCUCCUGUCUGCUAGGCUGGCCGCACCUGAGGUAGGGGAAGUCCGGUGAGAAUCCGGCGCUGUCGCGCAGCGGUAUGCCAGUCAGUUCAACGGAACUCGAUCAUGGUGAGCCCGAAUGCCUCUCAGGGAAGCCCGUUCACG